GGAGGGGUGGCAGAGUCUGGUUGAAUGCGCCGGUCUCGAAAACCGGUCUACCGGUUUCCCGGUAGCGUGGGUUCGAAUCCCACCCCCUCCGCCA
RNAcentral lists this transfer RNA (94 nucleotides) under Actinomycetes bacterium. RNAcentral's name for it is "tRNA-Ser". It matches the Rfam family "tRNA". Rfam says of the family: Transfer RNA (tRNA) molecules are approximately 80 nucleotides in length. The record is from RNAcentral. Lineage: Bacteria; Bacillati; Actinomycetota; Actinomycetes.